UACGAAGGGGGCUAGCGUUGUUCGGAAUUACUGGGCGUAAAGCGCACGUACGCGGGUCGUUAAGUCAGGGGUGAAAUCCCAGAGCUCAACUCUGGAACUGCCUUUGAUACUGGCGACCUAGAGUCCGGAAGAGGUUAGUGGAAUUCCCAGUGUAGAGGUGAAAUUCGUAGAUAUUGGGAAGAACACCAGUGGCGAAGGCGGCUAACUGGUCCGGUACUGACGCUGAGGUGCGAAAGCGUGGGGAGCAAACAGG
RNAcentral lists this ribosomal RNA (253 nucleotides) under uncultured prokaryote. Its description in RNAcentral is "partial 16S ribosomal RNA". It matches the Rfam family "Bacterial small subunit ribosomal RNA", at positions 524 to 776 of the family's 1533-position model. The record is from RNAcentral.